GUUCUUUACCACAGCCACCUGGGAAGCUGGUUUCCCCACACAAGCACCAAAAAAACCACAAAAAUACAGACAACAAAAAACCACACUCCCCUGCCUACUGUGGACAAAACUUGGCAAGGCGAGGCAAUAUUUUGUGUUCAUUUCAGAAAAUCUCAACCUAAUCAGGUGAAAUAAUGGUACCAUCGUUUAUCUUCAGGUGCCUAAGACACCUGAGAAUCCGGUGGAAGAGGAACUUUUUCAGAUUGGCCUGUGGCUUCCGGCAGUGGCGAGGUGCUGAUAGCGCUGAGCACUCAGAGGCUGAAAUUGGAUUUACCCGCAGGCUGAGGGCAGCGCUGGGCUGGCAAGCCUUGGAGUCAACAUCCAUCCAUUCAUUCCUAAGGGGGGGAAAAGGAAAUACACUAUCCGAACUCAAGAGGCCUAUUUAUUUAUCCCCGUUAGCAGGCAGGACACUUGACAAGCCCACGUCUUGGGGCUCGUUAGCGUCUUUAUUGCGAGAAGAUCUCGCCCGCAAGUUCCCACGGGGGCCAGGAGUCAGCGGGGCGCAUUUUCCUUAAAAAGCCUUCUUCACAGAGUGGGCUGGAAUCGCAACCGUUAAAGAGGCCUCACCGCACAAAGGGGCGUCCCGGCGGUAAUCGGUAAUCGGGAAAUAAAUUUGAUUUUCUGAAUUCUUCGGCAGCUGGUGACAAAGGAGCAGCAUUCCUGUGCAUACGCAGUCAGCUUUGAAAUGAUGUAGAGCAGCUAUGUGAAGAUAUGAACUUUAAAGAAAACAAAGACUUCCAUGUGGACAUACAGUAAGUCCCCUACAUACCGACUUCAUCCCUUCAAGCUGGGAACUUUCGAAGAUGCAAGCGAACAUUCCAUCCAUGUCAGCACAGUCUCAGAGACAGCUUCUUACUGAUACACUGGAUGGACCUCAGCUGCAGCUUGAAGGGUCUGAACAUACCAAUAACAGCCAAAAUGACGCCCACCGACUUCUACCCCAAACUGAUUCCUUCUCUGCUACCUUCUCCUUAGAGGACAACAGCUUUGUAACUCGGGAGACCUCCCACGUUCAGUGGGGGUGCUUGGGCAUAUUGUAGAUGGAGACAAAAGGAAAAACUCAGGAAGAUGUCCUGUCUUUAAAUCCUUUCAUAUUUUAUACAUUGUAAAUGCUUCGCAUUAAUUUUUAUUUUUAAAAAUAUGGCAUUAAAGUGGUAUUUAUCUUGA
Molecule: long non-coding RNA, 1206 nt
Organism: Bos taurus (domestic cattle)
Lineage: Eukaryota; Metazoa; Chordata; Mammalia; Artiodactyla; Bovidae
Source: Ensembl